Molecule: ribosomal RNA, 497 nt
Filed under: uncultured bacterium
Lineage: Bacteria
Description: partial 16S ribosomal RNA
Rfam family: Bacterial small subunit ribosomal RNA
Source: RNAcentral
GAUGAACGCUGGCGGCGUGCCUAAUACAUGCAAGUCGAGCGAACGGGCGAGAAGCUUGCUUCUCUGAUGUUAGCGGCGGACGGGUGAGUAACACGUGGAUAACCUACCUAUAAGACUGGGAUAACUUCGGGAAACCGGAGCUAAUACCGGAUGAUAUUUUGAACCGCAUUGUUCAAAAGUGAAAGACGGUCUUGCUGUCACUUAUAGAUGGAUCCGCGCUGCAUUAGCUAGUUGGUAAGGUAACGGCUUACCAAGGCAACGAUGCAUAGCCGACCUGAGAGGGUGAUCGGCCACACUGGAACUGAGACACGGUCCAGACUCCUACGGGAGGCAGCAGUAGGGAAUCUUCCGCAAUGGGCGAAAGCCUGACGGAGCAACGCCGCGUGAGUGAUGAAGGUCUUCGGAUCGUAAAACUCUGUUAUUAGGGAAGAACAUAUGUGUAAGUAACUGUGCACAUCUUGACGGUACCUAAUCAGAAAGCCACGGCUAACUACGUG